RNAcentral lists this ribosomal RNA (190 nucleotides) under uncultured bacterium. Its description in RNAcentral is "partial 16S ribosomal RNA". It matches the Rfam family "Bacterial small subunit ribosomal RNA", at positions 1303 to 1500 of the family's 1533-position model. The record is from RNAcentral.
GUCUGCAACCCGACUCCAUGAAGCUGGAUUCGCUAGUAAUCGCGCAUCAGCCACGGCGCGGUGAAUACGUUCCCGGGCCUUGUACACACCGCCCGUCAAGCCAUGGAAGCCGGGGGUGCCUGAAGUGCGCUGCCGCAAGGAGCGUCCUAGGGUAAAACCGGUGACUGGGGCUAAGUCGUAACAAGGUACC